AGGACUUGACAUGGAGAGGAAUGGCCCAGAGAUGGGUUUGCCCGCAAGGGCCUCUAGCAC
RNAcentral lists this ribosomal RNA (60 nucleotides) under uncultured organism. RNAcentral describes it as "partial 16S ribosomal RNA". The record is from RNAcentral.